This 492-nucleotide ribosomal RNA is filed under the name uncultured bacterium. Its description in RNAcentral is "partial 16S ribosomal RNA". It matches the Rfam family "Bacterial small subunit ribosomal RNA", at positions 29 to 507 of the family's 1533-position model. The record is from RNAcentral.
AGUGAACGCUGGCGGUAGGCCUAACACAUGCAAGUCGAACGGCAGCACAGUAAGAGCUUGCUCUUACGGGUGGCGAGUGGCGGACGGGUGAGGAAUACAUCGGAAUCUACUUUUUCGUGGGGGAUAACGUAGGGAAACUUACGCUAAUACCGCAUACGCCCUACGGGUGAAAGCAGGGGAUCUUCGGACCUUGCGCGAUUGAAUGAGCCGAUGUCGGAUUAGCUAGUUGGCGGGGUAAAGGCCCACCAAGGCGACGAUCCGUAGCUGGUCUGAGAGGAUGAUCAGCCACACUGGAACUGAGACACGGUCCAGACGCCUACGGGAGGCAGCAGUGGGGAAUAUUGGACAAAGGGCGCAAGCCUGAUCCAGCCAUACCGCGUGGGUGAAGAAGGCCUUCGGGUUGUAAAGCCCUUUUGUUGGGAAAGAAAAGCAGCAGGUUAAUACCCCGCUGUUCUGACGGUACCCAAAGAAUAAGCACCGGCUAACUUCGUG